Molecule: unclassified non-coding RNA, 184 nt
Filed under: uncultured fungus
Lineage: Eukaryota; Fungi
Description: partial contains 18S rRNA, ITS1, 5.8S rRNA, ITS2 and 28S rRNA
Source: RNAcentral
AAGGAUCAUCACUUUUUUUGUGAGGGCUUUAGCCCGAGCAUAAUCACCCUGUGUAAGGUACUGAUAGUAUUGGGGGGAAUUGUGCUAGUUAGCACGUCCCCCCAUAAAAACACCAUGAAAAAUCAUCUAAACACAAACCCAUUGAAAUACCACACAACUUUUAACAGUGGAUCUCUGGGCUCUC